Cercocebus atys (sooty mangabey) is the source of this 306-nucleotide long non-coding RNA. RefSeq lists it as uncharacterized. NCBI's taxonomy places the organism in Eukaryota, Metazoa, Chordata, Mammalia, Primates, Cercopithecidae. The record is from RefSeq and is a predicted model, not a curated record. The transcript has 3 exons.
CUCAGGCCUCCCUGCCACGGGGAUGCUGCUUUUUCUGCUCCAGGUGUUUCCACGAGGCGGGCAUGGAGUCUUCCCUGGAGAAGCGACAUACAGUGGAGAGACAGCGGAAGACACCAUGCGGUAAACACAGGAGCCUGCGAGAGAACCUCUGCCCAGCAUGAAUGAACGGCCAAGUGACACGAGUGACACUAUGAGCUUGGUGCCCUCUCCAUCCAGAGCCAGAGGUGUACACUGAUGCAUAGGAGGAUGCAGGACCUGCUGAUCUCCCAUCUCCACAGUCAGAGAAGACGCAGGAUGCUAACAGAC